RNAcentral lists this unclassified non-coding RNA (299 nucleotides) under plant metagenome. RNAcentral describes it as "partial contains 5.8S ribosomal RNA, internal transcribed spacer 2, and large subunit ribosomal RNA". The stretch from base 1 to 105 matches the Rfam family "5.8S ribosomal RNA", at positions 50 to 154 of the family's 154-position model. The record is from RNAcentral.
GAAAUGCGAUAAGUAAUGUGAAUUGCAGAAUUCAGUGAAUCAUCGAAUCUUUGAACGCACAUUGCGCCCCCUGGUAUUCCGGGGGGCAUGCCUGUUCGAGCGUCAUUUCACCACUCAAGCCUCGCUUGGUAUUGGGCGACGCGGUCCGCCGCGCGCCUCAAAUCGACCGGCUGGGUCUUUCGUCCCCUCAGCGUUGUGGAAACUAUUCGCUAAAGGGUGCCGCGGGAGGCCACGCCGUAAAACAACCCCAUUUUCUAAGGUUGACCUCGGAUCAGGUAGGGAUACCCGCUGAACUUAAG